GACCAUGCCUGCUUUAGAGACAGAGAGCAAGAGGAAGUGAGCAAGGGAGGUCAUUCGCAAUUCUGUCACUCCUAAAUUUGUCUGAACCUUUUUGGAAGGCAUUUGUAUUUCCUGCCAGCACCACCUCUUGGGGGUGAUGAAUUCCAAUAAGUUUCAAUCCGUUUAUUACUCACUGUGAGAGAAAUUGCUUCCUUUUAUGUCUGGAACUAAACCUGGAUCACAUUUCACAGGAUAUCCCCUAGUCACAGAGUUUUGGAAUCUGACCUGGAGGCAAAGGUAUGGAUGAGAUCACAUAGCAAGGAGAUUGCUGCUGAGAAGGAGUCAAAGCCUGGGUUUUACUUGUGGCCUUGCUGCUACACCAACUUUACUGACAUGCCAUUCUGGGAUAGUCUUUUCUCUCUGAGGCUUCAAGAGAAGAUGAGAAUACAUUCCAUCCCUACCUCUUGGAGUCAUUGUGAGGACUCAGAUGAAGUGCAGCAUCACGCAACAGAACUCAGAUGCCCUCACUGCAUCUCAAAUGCACUCAGUUCCUAGAGGCUAUAGCUGUUCCACAGACCAAGGCAGUUCCACCCUUAGGGCCUUUGCUCCUGCAGUUUCUCCUUCUUGGAAGGUUUUCUCCCCCAGAUAUUAAUACGACUGUCUCCUCACUCUAUUUAUACCUCUGUUCAAAUAUCAACAUGUGGUGAACAGCUUCGAAAAUGACCCUUAACGACCUGCCCUCCUGGUAUGGAUUCCCUCCCUUCUAGUGUGAGCUGGACCUAGUGACUUACUAAUAAUGAAUAGAAUAUUUUAAAAGGGGGGAUUUCACUUCUGAGAUCUUAUAACAGAAUACCAUGACUUCAUCUUGCAUGCUCUUUCUCUCUCCCUCUGUCUUCCUCUCCCUGUCAUUCUUGCUUGUGAGUAAGCAGGCUGCCAUGCUGUGAGCUGCCCUAUGGAGAAGUCCACAUGGCAAGGAACUGAGGGAUACCUUCAGCCAACAGCCAAUGAGGAACUGAUGCUCCCAGAGAACAGCCUGUAGGAAACUAAUUCCUGCUAACAACCUUCAGAUGACUGCAGGUCUGGCUGGCAACUCAACUGAAGCCUGAGAGAGAUCCUGAAGCAGCGGGUGCAGCUAAGCCUCUGCUGGAUUCCCAUUAGACAGAAACUCAUCACCAGUUUUCCAUGAGAGCACCAAGCCUGUGAUUUCAGUAGAAGCUUAACUGCUCGUCUUUGAGGCACCAAAUCUGAAAAGCGAUCUUCCUGAAGACCAUGCUAAGGCAAGAACAUCCAUAUAAGGGAGAAUUCCUGAAAGUGUUCUAACACUUCAGUGGAAACUCAUCAAUGCUCUGUACCCAGAAUAAUCCCAUUUCGGAGGGUGCAUGGAUGGGGCAGAUGCAUGAUGUGCCCUGAGGAGCAGAGGAAACAUGGGCUUGGGUUGUGAAGGAUCUCAGAGAAGCUCUCCUGGACUGGCCCAAAUGUCUCAAACUUUAAUGUGCACAUAAAUCUAUUAAAAUGCAGCUUCCACUUCAACACAUCUGGAGUGAGACCAGGUAUUCUGCAUUUUUAACAAACUCUGGUGUAUGCUGGCGGAUGUCUGGAGUGCUGCUGGUCCAUGGACCGCAUGUUGAGUAGCAAGGCCCUGGAGGAAAUCUUGUCCAAGGUUGCAAAUUCAAAUGUCUUGGGGACCAGGUAGGCAAUGAAGAAUGACAGAGAUGGGAGUAAGACAAUUUGGAAUGGCAGAACCUGUGAGGAAAUGGAGGACAAGCAAGUCCAUUAAAGGUAUCCAAAAGCAUUGGAAGAAAG
Molecule: long non-coding RNA, 1782 nt
Filed under: Homo sapiens (human)
Lineage: Eukaryota; Metazoa; Chordata; Mammalia; Primates; Hominidae
Description: HSALNT0314851
Source: RNAcentral